This 73-nucleotide transfer RNA is filed under the name Camelus bactrianus (Bactrian camel). It matches the Rfam family "tRNA". Rfam says of the family: Transfer RNA (tRNA) molecules are approximately 80 nucleotides in length. Their secondary structure includes four short double-helical elements and three loops (D, anti-codon, and T loops). RNAcentral also lists the same sequence under 2 other names. Lineage: Eukaryota; Metazoa; Chordata; Mammalia; Artiodactyla; Camelidae. The record is from Rfam by way of RNAcentral.
GAGGGUAUAGCUCAAGCAGUAGAGCGCUUGCUUAGCAUGCACGAGGUCCUGGGAUCAAUCCCCAGUACCUUCU